RNAcentral lists this ribosomal RNA (413 nucleotides) under uncultured bacterium. RNAcentral describes it as "bacterial SSU rRNA". It matches the Rfam family "Bacterial small subunit ribosomal RNA", at positions 355 to 785 of the family's 1533-position model. The record is from RNAcentral.
UGGGGAAUCUUGCACAAUGGGGGAAACCCUGAUGCAGCGAUGCCGCGUGAGUGAAGAAGGCCCUUGGGUUGUAAAACUCUUUCGUCGGGGAAGAAAAUGACUGUACCCGAAUAAGAAGGUCCGGCUAACUUCGUGCCAGCAGCCGCGGUAAUACGAAGGGACCUAGCGUAGUUCGGAAUUACUGGGCUUAAAGAGCUCGUAGGUGGUUAAAAAAGUUGAUGGUGAAAUCCCAAGGCUCAACCUUGGAACUGCCAUCAAAACUUUUUAGCUAGAGUGUGAUAGAGGUAAGUGGAAUUUCUAGUGUAGAGGUGAAAUUCGUAGAUAUUAGAAAGAACACCAAAUGCGAAGGCAACUUACUGGGUCACUACUGACACUGAGGAGCGAAAGCAUGGGUAGCGAAGAGGAUUAGAUAC